Molecule: ribosomal RNA, 433 nt
Filed under: uncultured bacterium
Lineage: Bacteria
Description: partial 16S ribosomal RNA
Rfam family: Bacterial small subunit ribosomal RNA
Source: RNAcentral
AGCGAACGCUGGCGGCAGGCUUAACACAUGCAAGUCGAGCGGGCCCUUCGGGUUCAGCGGCCGAUGUGAGGGUAACCCGAGGGAACGUUAACUUUGGUUCGGAAUAACGCUGGGAAACUAGCGCUAAUACCGGAUAAGUCCUUUUGGGGAAAGGCUUGCUGACGAAGAAGCGGUCCGCGUCUGAUUAGCUAUUUGGUGAGGUAAUGGACUACCCAGGUUACGUUCAGUAGCUGGUCUGGGAGGAUGAUCCGCAACACUAGGACUGAGACACGUCCCAGACGCCUACGGGUGGCAGAAGGUGGGAAUGUUGGACGAUGGGCGCAAGCCUGAGCCUGCCAGGCCGCGUGAGUGAGGAGGUCGUUAGGGUUGUUGAGCUCUGUUGUCCGCGACGAUAAUGACGGUACCGGAAGAAUAAGCCCCGGCUAACUUCGUG